GACGGAGGAUGCAAGUGUUAUCCGGAAUCACUGGGCGUAAAGCGUCUGUAGGUGGUUUAAUAAGUCAACUGUUAAAUCUUGAGGCUCAACCUCAAAAUCGCAGUCGAAACUAUUAGGCUAGAGUAUAGUAGGGGUAAAGGGAAUUUCCAGUGGAGCGGUGAAAUGCGUAGAGAUUGGAAAGAACACCGAUGGCGAAGGCGGGUCUCUGGGCCGGAACUGACGCUAAGGAGCGAAAGCGUGGGGAGCGAACAGG
RNAcentral lists this ribosomal RNA (253 nucleotides) under uncultured bacterium. Its description in RNAcentral is "partial 16S ribosomal RNA". It matches the Rfam family "Bacterial small subunit ribosomal RNA", at positions 524 to 776 of the family's 1533-position model. The record is from RNAcentral.